RNAcentral lists this transfer RNA (72 nucleotides) under Megalodesulfovibrio gigas DSM 1382 = ATCC 19364. Its description in RNAcentral is "Desulfovibrio gigas DSM 1382 = ATCC 19364 tRNA". It matches the Rfam family "tRNA". From Rfam's summary of the family: Transfer RNA (tRNA) molecules are approximately 80 nucleotides in length. Their secondary structure includes four short double-helical elements and three loops (D, anti-codon, and T loops). Lineage: Bacteria; Pseudomonadati; Thermodesulfobacteriota; Desulfovibrionia; Desulfovibrionales; Desulfovibrionaceae. The record is from Rfam by way of RNAcentral.
GGGCCGUUAACUCAGUGGUAGAGUAUCUGACUUUUAAUCAGAGAGUCGAUGGUUCGAACCCAUCACGGCCCA